GAUGAACGCUGGCGGCGUGCCUAAUACAUGCAAGUCGAGCGAACAGACGAGGAGCUUGCUCCUCUGACGUUAGCGGCGGACGGGUGAGUAACACGUGGAUAACCUACCUAUAAGACUGGGAUAACUUCGGGAAACCGGAGCUAAUACCGGAUAAUAUAUUGAACCGCAUGGUUCAAUAGUGAAAGACGGUUUUGCUGUCACUUAUAGAUGGAUCCGCGCCGCAUUAGCUAGUUGGUAAGGUAACGGCUUACCAAGGCAACGAUGCGUAGCCGACCUGAGAGGGUGAUCGGCCACACUGGAACUGAGACACGGUCCAGACUCCUACGGGAGGCAGCAGUAGGGAAUCUUCGGCAAUGGGCGAAAGCCUGACGGAGCAACGCCGCGUGAGUGAUGAAGGUCUUCGGAUCGUAAAACUCUGUUAUUAGGGAAGAAUAAAUGUGUAAGUAACUAUGCACGUCUUGACGGUACCUAAUCAGAAAGCCACGGCUAACUACGUG
RNAcentral lists this ribosomal RNA (497 nucleotides) under uncultured bacterium. Its description in RNAcentral is "partial 16S ribosomal RNA". It matches the Rfam family "Bacterial small subunit ribosomal RNA", at positions 28 to 507 of the family's 1533-position model. The record is from RNAcentral.